Molecule: ribosomal RNA, 253 nt
Filed under: uncultured bacterium
Lineage: Bacteria
Description: partial 16S ribosomal RNA
Rfam family: Bacterial small subunit ribosomal RNA
Source: RNAcentral
UACGAAGGGGGCUAGCGUUGCUCGGAUUCAUUGGGCGUAAAGGGUGCGUAGGCGGCGCGGUAAGUCGGGUGUGAAAUCUCGGGGCUUAACUCCGAAACUGCAUUCGAUACUGCCGUGCUUGAGGACUGGAGAGGAGACUGGAAUUUACGGUGUAGCGGUGAAAUGCGUAGAUAUCGUAAGGAAGACCAGUGGCGAAGGCGGGUCUCUGGACAGUUCCUGACGCUGAGGCACGAAGGCCAGGGGAGCAAACGGG